GCAUAUGGAGGUUCCCAGGCUAGGGGGUUGAAUCAGAGCUACAGCUACUGGCCUACACCACAGCUCACAGCAACGCCAGAUCCUUAACCCACUGAGUGAGGCCAGGGAUCGAACCCACAACCUCAUGGUUCCUAGUCAGAUUUGUUUCUGCCGCACCACAACGGGCACUCCUCAUGCUCUUUUUUAUCUUUUUCUUAAGAAAACAUUUUUCUCUUAUAGAAAUAAUAUAUGAGUGAUCAUUUUAAGAAAACAUAAAAAUGUAAAUAAAAAUAAAAUUCACAACAAACUCCUCUCCCAGAAAUAGUCACUGAUACAUACCGAGGUCUUGUCUAGUUCUUUCCAUAUCUCAGGUCCUUUACUUUCGUGGUGUCCUACUGAAAGCGCGACAGGAGGGGAAGUGGCAGGGAUGUGACAGAGACCUUUCAUGUGUUUCUUCUCUAUAGAGGUGUUGCUUGGAUCUUUUACAACAAAAUGUAUUCACGCCUUAGUUACAUAGUCAAAGAAUUGAAAAUAAUUGGGAGUAAAAUCCAGAGAAAGAAAAAGAAUGUGUUGAUCAAAAAGGGAGAAUUGUCAACCCUAGAAAUAUUUUAGAAAUAUCACCUCAUAAUAAGAACUCUUUGGUUAACGAUCAGGCUCACACAGGCAGGAAUGAAGACAUGCAUCAGUCCGUCAAAGCAGGAUGCCACUAACCCUCCCUGACCAGCUCCUUAUUAGUGCCGGGUCUGAUUCUGUGCCUGCCAGACCACUUUCUGAAUAGAAUUUAACUUCCCAUGUAGUUUGCUUACAGGGUAAGAAUGUUCUGGGUAGACUACUGUCAAUGUUCCAACUCUCUGUCUGACAGACCUUUCCACUAAUUACAUUAAUUGGCUUUUAAAUAUUUCUUCACUCUCUGAGAGCUCUAUUGGUCAAUCAGCAUCACUAAAUUAUGUCAACCCAGGACACUAUCAACUUGAACUUUCCAGAACUGUAAGUAGGACCCUGGAUUAUGAGAAGUUCACCAUAAUGCCAUUUCAAAGAGUACUUUCUAGGGUGAGGAGGGAGAAGACUACAGCAGACACCCCUGCUCUUACACGCCUAGGAUGUACCAGCAAAUGCCAUCAGAGCACCACUGUUAACAUGCCUCAUAUCAUAUGUUGGGACGGGGCCAGUCUUGGGCCAUUUAACAGCACUGUGACAUGGAGGUGGUGUGGGGCAGAUUCUGAGGAGACACUAGCCACAGACCCCGGGGGAAAUGCCAUCCAGCAGGCAGAAGAUCGCAUCUGGCUCAGGCGAUAGUAGAUGCUACCAGUUUCGGCAAACAUUCGGUCUCAGUGAAUGCGGGCAGGAGUGAGGCGUGGUGAGGGCUGAGAAGAGCAGUAGUGGAAGGAAAUCCUAGAGCAAAGGAGCAGCAGGCAUCCAGGCAGGUACUGACCUCUGGUGAGACCAUCUACAGACAUCAAUACGUGGUACUAGGCUUCUUUCAUUCAUUCAUUUAACAAAUAUUUACCAGAUUCCUCAACAGGACUCUCAUGCACCCACACACCUUGCUGGGUGUGCCAAGGACGCAGGGCCUGACUAUUCUUUGCUUGGGCCAUUUCUCAGGGUUGUGUUGUCAGCAAGCAACCCUGAAGGAUGAGGUAAUGUCUCCCUUGGGGACACAGCGCAGGCUUGCUGACUACUCAAAAUCAAAGUCAUGACUUCCCCCAGCUCAGUGUUCCUCACCUAGAGCACAAAUUCACUGGAUAUGCCAACUCCAUCUAGCCCAGGUCAUGUGUCCUCCAUGAGAAAUGGGGGCAAGGGAAACCUGAUACAAACAUGCUGCUUGUUAUCUCGGGGGUAAGAAAGUCCUUUGUUUCCAACUUUGGAGUCUCAUGUCAGCAUUCAUGGAAUAGUGAAAGGCUAGCCCACUAGCUUGUAGGCUAGAGAAUCAAAUUCUAGACCUGAGAGCACCUUGGGGCCCCAUACUGGGUCCUGAAGCUAAAGCAGUGCACAAAACCAGCCUGGUUCCUGUUCUCUCAGAAGAUCCAGGCGAAAGAGGGAGACAAACGGAUGAGGAAACAACCAAGAUGUGAGCAGCACUCUGCAGAGAAUAGGGAUGGGGUGAUAUACUAGAAACGUCCAGGUGGCUACUUGAGAUGGAGUAGCUAGAGGAGGCCAAGGAGUGCACAGGAAUGCAAAGCCACCUGGAGGAAAUUGUUGCAGCAAGAGGAGCAGGGCAGGUGCAGGAGGCCAAAGGCAGGGCUAGCCAGCAAGGCCAGAGCGAGGUGAGCAUGGGUAGAUGGGGUGUGGGGAGGUCAGUAGGGAACUAGAGCCUUGCCCUUGAGGCAAAAGCUGGGUGGGGGUGGAUUUCUUUUCAGAUGCAAGGGGAAGCCACCGGGGAAUUUUAAGAAGGGGCAUAAAUGACCCGAUUUGGGUUUUUUAAACUAGCUCCAGCUGCUCAGUGAGGAAACAUGAGUGUAGUGGGCAGGAAUGGAAGCAUUUAGGAAGCCGUUGCUUUAGUCCAGGAGAAACAGGAUAAUGGCUUGGACAAGGACGGGUGGAAGAGAGCUGAAGUGAAGUUGGCACAUGUGGGCUCUGUUUUGGGUGUUUUGCUUUGUUUUUUUGUCUUUUUAGGGCCACACCCAUAGCAUAUGGAAGUUCCCAGGCUAGGGGUUGAAUCAGAGCUGCAGUUGCCAGCCUACGCCACAGCCACAGCAACACCAGAUCCGAGCCACGGAAAUUCCACAUAUUGAGUUGAAAGAGCCACUUCAGAGAUGAAACCCAGAGAGACGCAUAGUUGAAGGGAGUGCUUUGAGGUAUUAUUAUUCCACUUAACAGGUGUUUAUUUGAGCCUGGAGUUCUGGGGAAGGCCAGGACAGGGGUACCACUUGGGAUCAUCCCCAUCUGUAUGGUAUUUGAGCUGUUGGAAGAAGACCUGCAGGGAUAAUAUGGAUGAAAAAGAAAGACCCAGACCCCUGUCCCAAGACUGCCAACCUUGUAGAGGCGACAUGAGGAACCAGAGCCCAGAAAUGAGACAUCUAGGAGGGGCUGUCAAAGUAGAGGGAAAUCCUAGAGAAUGUGGUGUCACAAAGUCCCCCAAGAAAAUAGUGGCUUCAAGGAGAACAGAUGGGUGGCUGUCGAACACUGCUGAGAAGACUGUCCCAUGCAGUUUUCCUGAGAGCAGAGCUCCAUGUCCUGCCCUAGUUACUGGCAACUGGGGUCCUGGGACAGAGAUAUCAAGCAAGGGGCACACCACAGCUCAGAGGACAGUUUCCAUUACACCGAAUGAGGGCAUGGGGCCACCCAAGUCCUACAAUUACAGUGGCUUCUGCUGACAACACAAAGAGAGGUCUUGUCCAGAAUGUGACAUGCUUACGGCCCCUCUGCCUAGCCACCCCACCUUCUCACCUGUCGUCUGAGGGCCCAGAGGGAGGGCUAUGGCUGGGUAUGCACUUUUCUUUCUCUUGUCUUUCUCAUCUUUCCCACUAAGCUAAAGGUACUCACCCUUCAAUGCCUGCUUCUCCUCACUCAAUACACAUCCAUCAAUUGCUCUGUGUUCAGUCCUGUGCAUUCACAUCCUUGAUAGUAGUUAAUCCUCACAAGACACUUUGAGGUAUUAUUAUUCCACUUAACAAAAGGGGGGGAAGAGUCAGAAAGGCUAAGCAACUUGCUCAAAGUCACACAGCUUGCAAGUGGUGAAAAUGGGAUUCAAACCGAGGACUCUGGCCCUCCCAACAGCUCUGCCUGACUGCAGAUGUGGUUAGGAUAGGGAUUCUGCAGCCCAGAAGAAGUCUCAAAGCAAAAGACUGAAGAGGCAAUAACACAAAACACACACAACUACAACUACCUAAACUAUAUCAUUACAAUGUAAAUUAAGGUAAGAGGAAAUACAAAUUGCUAUGGAGAUCAGAAAAUGCUUCUUGGGAGUUUCUGUCACGGCUCAGCAGUAACUAACCUGACUAGUAUCCAUGAGAAUGCCAGUUUGAUCCCUGGCCUCACUCAGUGGGUUAAGGAUUGGCAUUGCUGUGAACUAUGAUGUAGGUUGCAGAUGCAAUUAGGAUCCCGCAUUGCUAUGGCUGUGGUGUAGGCCAGCAGCUACAGCUCCAAUUCAACCCAUAGCCUGGGAACUUCCAUAUGCCACAGGUGAGGCCCUACCAAGAAAAAAAAAAAAAAUCCUUCUUGGAGGGAGCAGGGUGUCCAAUGGGAGUUGGACAGGACAGGAGGGGUUUGUAGGGCUGAGGCUGUUCUGUUGGGAGGAUGUGCAAAGAGAAAGAGGCGGCCUCUCCUUGACCAACCCCCAUCGACUCAGGGCCGAGACCCAGCCUUGCCUACCUCACCAUCCCCCUUGGCAGGGCUUUCCAUCUCUCACGUUUCCUUUAUCCCUACAUUCCCAGGGCCUAACCCAAGGCCACACACGUAGAAAGUGCCAAGUGAGGGUUUCCUGAGUUCAACAAUGUCCUGGUCUCCUAUUUCUAGUCUCUCCUUUCUCAAAUAUAUCUCUAUAUUAACUUCCAUGGCCAACCCUAUCCACAGUUAAACCUACUCUUCUAGAGAAUUUAUCUGGCCCAUAGUUCCAGGAAAUCUCCAUGCGAAUACUCAAUAAUUCACACACCCACAAACCCCCAAAGCAGGCCACAGCUGACAUGACCCAGUCCAAUUUGUUGACUGUGCAACUCUGAAUACACUAAAAACCAUUAAAUUGCAUAUAUCAAGGGGGUGAACUGAAUGGUAUGUGAAUUAGAUCUCAAUAAAGCUGUUACAUAUAUGGCUUUAAAAUCUCCCCCUGGUAUCUGAUGCCUCCAGAACUUGAGGCAACAUUCAUUCAUUCAUUCAUCUGUUUAUUCAAUACAUAUUUACUGGGCAUCUACUUUCUAUCAUUUACUCAACAAAUAUAUAUUGACCACCUAUGCCGUGUCAGACUCUGUUCUAUACACAAAGGGUCCAGCAAAAAACAUGCAAAAAAAAAAAAAUCUAGCCUUUGAGUUGCUUACAUUCUCAUGGAUGAAAAGAGGCAAUGAAGAAAAUAAAUAGGAGGACUGUAUACAGUGUAAUACAUUGAAAGCAACUGCAGGUACGGAGAAAAAUAAAGCAGGGAAAAGGGAUGGUCGGCAGGGGACUAGGGGAGGGAGGAGCUACAGUUAUAAACAAGGCGGGCAGGGAAAACCUCCACGAGCAAGUGACAUUUGGAGGUGAGCGAGUGAAGCAUGCAAACAGCUGGAAGAGGAAGAACAACCUAGGCUGGGACAACAGCAAGUGCCAAGGUCCCGAGGUGGACGUGCCUGGCGUAUGCAAGGAACAUCUAAGGAGCAGAGUCAGUAAGAAGGAAAGUAGAGGAUAUGAGAUUAGAGAAGUAAAGGGAGAAACAAAUUCUGCUCUUCCGUAGAGGUGGGGCAUAGUGGGGUGUGUACAUCUAAAAAUAGCAGAGGUUAUUCUGGAUGUUGGCCCCACAAGUGGCACAGAUGCAGCUUGCCUGGUUUCUAGAUAAGGCUACAAUCAC
Molecule: long non-coding RNA, 5455 nt
Filed under: Sus scrofa (pig)
Lineage: Eukaryota; Metazoa; Chordata; Mammalia; Artiodactyla; Suidae
Description: lncRNA (ENSSSCG00065069626.1)
Source: RNAcentral